This 588-nucleotide ribosomal RNA is filed under the name uncultured marine eukaryote. RNAcentral's name for it is "SSU rRNA". It matches the Rfam family "Eukaryotic small subunit ribosomal RNA", at positions 613 to 1202 of the family's 1831-position model. The record is from RNAcentral.
UUGUGGUGAAAAAGCUCGUAGUUGGAUCUCGGCGGACUGAGGGCGGUUUGCUUGCUAGUAUUACUGCCCUAUAGUCCGUAGUUUUGCCAGAGGUUUCGGGGUGCUCUUAAUCGAGUGUCCCGGGAUGCUGGCAGGUUUACUUUGAAAAAAUUAGAGUGCUCAAAGCAGGCUAUUACGCCUGAAUAUUCGUGCAUGGAAUAAUAGAAUAGGAAGUCGUUUCUAUUUUGUUGGUUUUCGGAAAUCGACUUAAUGAUUAAUAGGGACAGUCGGGGGCAUUUGUAUUCAAACGACAGAGGUGAAAUUCUUGGACCGUUUGAAGACAAACUACUGCGAAAGCAUUUGCCAAGAAUGUUUUCAUUAAUCAAGAACGAAAGUUAAAGGUUCGAAGGCGAUUAGAUACCGCCCUAGUUUUAACCAUAAACGAUGCCAGCUAGCGAUCUGCGGACGUUUUUUUUGUAGACUCCGCAGGAAGCUUCCGGGAAACCAAAGCAUUUGGGUUCCAGGGGAAGUAUGGUUGCCAAGCUGAAACUUAAAGGAAUUGACCGAAAGGCACCACCAGGAGUGGAACCUGUGGCUUAAUUUGACUCA